UAGAGUUUGAUCCUGGCUCAGAACGAACGCUGGCGGCAGGCUUAACACAUGCAAGUCGAACGCACCUUUCGGGGUGAGUGGCAGACGGGUGAGUAACGCGUGGGAACGUGCCCUUCAGUUCGGAAUAACCCAGGGAAACUUGGGUUAAUACCGGAUACGUGCGAGAGCAGAAAGAUUUAUCGCUGAAGGAUCGGCCCGCGUCUGAUUAGCUGGUUGGUGAGGUAAUGGCUCACCAAGGCGACGAUCAGUAGCUGGUCUGAGAGGAUGAUCAGCCACAUUGGGACUGAGACGCGGCCCAAACUCCUACGGGAGGCAGCAGUGGGGAAUAUUGGACAAUGGGCGCAAGCCUGAUCCAGCCAUGCCGCGUGAGUGAUGAAGGCCUUAGGGUUGUAAAGCUCUUUCGUCCGGGACGAUAAUGACGGUACCGGAAGAAGAAGCCCCGGCUAACUUCGUGCCAGCAGCCGCGGUAAUACGAAGGGGGCUAGCGUUGUUCGGAAUCACUGGGCGUAAAAGGCGCGUAGGCGGCUUUAUAAGUCGGGGGUGAAAGCCUGUGGCUCAACCACAGAAUUGCCUUCGAUACUGUAGAGCUUGAGACCGGAAGAGGUUAGUGGAACUGCGAGUGUAGAGGUGAAAUUCGUAGAUAUUCGCAAGAACACCAGUGGCGAAGGCGGCUGACUGGUCCGGAUCUGACGCUGAGGCGCGAAAGCGUGGGGAGCAAACAGGAUUAGAUACCCUGGUAGUCCACGCCGUAACGAUGAAUGCCAGCCGUUGGGCAGCUUGCUGCUCAGUGGCGCAGCUAACGCUUUAAGCAUUCCGCCUGGGGAGU
This 826-nucleotide ribosomal RNA is filed under the name uncultured bacterium. RNAcentral describes it as "bacterial SSU rRNA". It matches the Rfam family "Bacterial small subunit ribosomal RNA", at positions 1 to 881 of the family's 1533-position model. The record is from RNAcentral.